CCUUGUACACACCGCCCGUCACGCCAUGGAAGCUGGGGGGACCUGAAGCCGGUGGGCUAACCGCAAGGGGGCAGCCGUCAAAGGUCAAUUCAGUGACUGGGGCG
Molecule: ribosomal RNA, 104 nt
Filed under: uncultured bacterium
Lineage: Bacteria
Description: partial 16S ribosomal RNA
Rfam family: Bacterial small subunit ribosomal RNA
Source: RNAcentral